This 449-nucleotide ribosomal RNA is filed under the name uncultured bacterium. RNAcentral's name for it is "partial 16S ribosomal RNA". It matches the Rfam family "Bacterial small subunit ribosomal RNA", at positions 29 to 523 of the family's 1533-position model. The record is from RNAcentral.
AACGAACGCUGGCGGCAUGUCUAACACAUGCAAGUCGAACGAGACCUUCGGGUCUAGUGGCGCACGGGUGCGUAACGCGUGGGAAUCUACCCUUGGGUUCGGAAUAACAGUUAGAAAUGACUGCUAAUACCGGAUGAUGACGUAAGUCCAAAGAUUUAUCGCCCAAGGAUGAGCCCGCGUAAGAUUAGCUUGUUGGUGGGGUAAUGGCCUACCAAGGCGACGAUCUUUAGCUGGUCUGAGAGGAUGAUCAGCCACACCGGGACUGAGACACGGCCCAGACUCCUACGGGAGGCAGCAGUGGGGAAUAUUGGACAAUGGACGAAAGCCUGAUCCAGCAAUGCCGCGUGAGUGAUGAAGGCCUUAGGGUUGUAAAGCUCUUUUACCAGGGAUGAUAAUGACAGUACCUGGAGAAUAAGCUCCGGCUAACUCCGUGCCAGCAGCCGCGGUAA